AAUCAUUAGAAGACAUACAAGAGUUUUAGUUUAAUUAAUGCUGAUUACUUAUUAAAUUGUAGGUUCCAAGAAGAUCUGACCAUAGAAGACAUAAAAAGGCCACAACUAAGAAGUUAUGUGCUGAAAAGGAGUUGCAAAGCUAACCAUCAUGUCAAUAGCAGCUACCCUGGGGAAUCAUACAGGUAUGUACCAUUGUUU
RNAcentral lists this long non-coding RNA (198 nucleotides) under Fukomys damarensis (Damara mole-rat). RNAcentral describes it as "lncRNA (ENSFDAG00000028734.1)". Lineage: Eukaryota; Metazoa; Chordata; Mammalia; Rodentia; Bathyergidae. The record is from RNAcentral.